Molecule: non-coding RNA, 444 nt
Organism: Sander lucioperca (pikeperch)
Lineage: Eukaryota; Metazoa; Chordata; Actinopteri; Perciformes; Percidae
Source: the annotation of a RefSeq genome assembly
GAGAGCCGUGUCUCUCUACAGUGAGAGGUUUUUGUACGGCGGCUCAAUGACUUUGUAUCACUGUGGUUGACUUUUGGUGGAGGAACCAGACUGAAUGUUAACUUGGGUCGAGCCGUCCCCACCCUGACGGUGCUGCCCCCCUCCAGUGAGGAGCUGCUGAAGGGGAAGGCCACGCUCAUGUGCCUGGCCAACAAGGGCUUCCCCUCAGACUGGAGUCUGGCCUGGAAGGUGGACGGCAGCAGCAGCAGCAGCAGCAGCAGCUGGGAGGAGAGCAGGAGCCCCGGGGUGCUGGAGAAGGACGGCAAAUACAGCUGGAGCAGCACCCUGAGGCUCCCUGCAGACCAGUGGGAGAAGGUGGGCUCUGUGACCUGUGAGGCCACCCAGGGCUCCCAGACUCCACUCUCAGAGACACUGAGGAGAGACCAGUGUUCCCAGUCCUGACCU